Molecule: non-coding RNA, 47 nt
Organism: Aedes albopictus (Asian tiger mosquito)
Lineage: Eukaryota; Metazoa; Arthropoda; Insecta; Diptera; Culicidae
Source: Rfam
AAAACGGCCCUUUUCAGGGCCACUAUACAACUUUCCCAAAAGAGUUG